ACUGGCUGCUUAUGGGGCAAAUCCUGCUACCUGAUGAGCAAUAAUAUUUCACGUAGAGUACUGGUGCUAGCUGCAGGUGACCCGACAUGCAUGCUAGUGUAGUGAUUAAUCUUAGUCCAGAAAAUUCGAGAACAAAUGUCAUAAUAUCCUCACGAGAGACACUAAAAAAAUAAUAUUAAUAAUUCUCACAAAAUCAGAAAGAUAUAGCAAUAAAUAUGAACUCUAAUAAUCAUUAUUAAUAAUAAUAUCCAUUAGGAUCCAGAUCUAUAUGGAUUGUUGUUGUGUGUUUAAUAGUUGCUCAGGGUUAGUCUUCUGAGCUAUCGUGUUUUGGGGGCGCCGGUUUUCCUCCAAUAAACCGUUUGGGCAUGAGGUUUGAGGGCCUAAUUUUCCUUAUUAAAUAAAGUAGAUCAAUUCUAUUCUUCAUAAGUGAAUAGCAGGAGUUCACUGCCCUAUUCAAAAAUAAAAUAGUCACCAGAUCUUUUCUACUUUGUAGUAAUUAAUCAUUACUCAUAUCAACCAUUAUGAAAACAACAUAUAUAAAAUAACUUGAAUAUGUAUCUAAAUUAUCCACCUAUGCCAUUAUAAAACAUAAUCUAAAGUAAUCCCUAAAUCAGCAUAUAAUUCUUCCCAUACCAUUAUGAUAGAUAAUCUAAGUAACCCUGUAAAUUUAUAUCUUAAUGAACACUUCUCACAUUAUUAAAAAAAAGUAAAAUAUUGCCUCCAAAUCUUCAUCUAAACUACCAACAUCUGAUUAUUACAAAAAUGUUUAAGUAAACAUAUUUUAAUCAUAUAUACAUAUAUCCUUAUUAUUAAUAUUAGUAAUUAACUAACUAACUAAACUAUGUAGAUCUAGGAUAUCCUACCAAAACAUCAACGAUCAUGAAAAAUAUCUACUUAACAACUCAUAUACAAAUAAUACUAGCAAAAUAUUUAAAAUUAUGUUAAUGUACAACAUUCUCGCAAAAAAGAUAAUUAUUUAAAUUAUUACUUAGAUAAAUUUACAUUUAAAUGGAAACAUCUAUUGAUAGUAUAAUUGUAAGCAUUCUAUUUUUUAUAAGCAGUAACAUUAAUAUUUAAUAAGAAAAUCGACAUCUUGAAAUGUGGGAGAGGUUAGUGCAUACGAAAGGCGGCCAUGACCUUGUUUGGAAUAAUAGUGAUUAUAAUGCUUCAAUAUAUCAUAUCAUGUUGAUUACAAUCAAAACAAUGCUUAGAGUGUAUGCUUAUUAUUGUGUUUCCAUUCAUGGUUAUUAUAUUCUCUUUGUUGACACAGUACCACUUGCAGAGUCGUAACGAUCGUUUUUUAGGAAACAGGAGAGCCCCCCGGGGACCUCUACUAAAAUUUUAUUUAUACAAAGAGUAACCAAGUAUAUUACAACACAGGAAAAAAAGAGAAAAUCUAAAACUGCUUCCAGAACCUGAGGGAAACAGGUUCAAGAAACAAAGAAAAAUAAAAAGAAAAUCAAGACGAUUACAUAGCGUGCUCUAACCAUAAUUCAAUAUCCAGGAAGUACUUCUUCAUGGCUCUCUAAAAGAAGUUGCCUAAAGAUUAACUUGAAAAAGUCAAACCCACGCAAACAACAACCGGGUAUACCUCUAAAGAAUUGGCGUCAUUUCUUAUGGUCCAGAUGCACCAACACAUGAUGAUUAUGAUUUCCAUGAAAAAAGAAGUUUUGAUCUGAAUCUUGAAGCUUUUGAAUAUGUGCAAGAUGACUGAAGAACUGAUUACCGUGAGACCCAUGAGACCCCAGCAGGAUCUAGCCAUGUCACAUUCUAGGAAAAGAUGUUGAACCGUCUCUUCUGUGUUUAGGCCGCAUAGAACACAGUUAUAUGAGGGUAGAUGCAUGUUUUUGCGCUUAAGAAUAUUUCUAGUGCUUAAUCUAUCCUGGACUAGCAACUAGAAAAAAACCUUGUGCUUGGGUUGACAAGAAGAUUUCCAGAUCCAUCUGAUCAGCCUCAAUGUUACAUAUGAGGUGGCGAUAGGCUUUUUUUGAAGUAAAGAUAGAGCUGCCCCAGAUAUAGUACCAAUUGUCAUGUUCCUCAGUCCGAGGAGAGGAUGAGAUUAAGUUGUUCAAAUUGGUUGAAGGCUUCAACAGAAAGUAGGAGGUUGAACAAAGUUGAGGUAGAGUUAGCCAGCGAUGCCAUCUUGAGAGAGAUACUGGGCUUCCAAUCAAUCCUACAUCAAGACAUGGAGCAACUCGGGUCUAGUACUCUUCGUCCCAAAAAGGAAAAUGUUAUGAGAUGUG
This 2243-nucleotide long non-coding RNA is filed under the name Sorghum bicolor (sorghum). RNAcentral's name for it is "long non-coding RNA (SBIC_LNC013270)". The record is from RNAcentral. Lineage: Eukaryota; Viridiplantae; Streptophyta; Magnoliopsida; Poales; Poaceae.